GCCAAAACCAGUAUUUCUGCACAGAUGAGCAACAAAUACUGAAAAGAGAAAAGGUCAAAGGAGGAAGGCACCACCUGUGAGUGUGUGUAGGGGUAGUUCCUGCUUCUGUUUCAUUCUUGAGAAGCUCAUUUCUCCUGGCCUUACUCACGGACAACAGGAUUCAGACCGGCACUCGAGAUGUUUAGCAUGUGGCACCGGUGUCUCCUGCCUAGCAUCGCGUUCUAUAC
Long non-coding RNA from Passer montanus (Eurasian tree sparrow), 227 nucleotides. RefSeq lists it as uncharacterized. The transcript has 3 exons. Lineage: Eukaryota; Metazoa; Chordata; Aves; Passeriformes; Passeridae. The record is from RefSeq and is a predicted model, not a curated record.